This 1005-nucleotide long non-coding RNA is filed under the name Bombyx mandarina (wild silkworm). RNAcentral's name for it is "uncharacterized LOC114241808, transcript variant X1". The record is from RNAcentral. Lineage: Eukaryota; Metazoa; Arthropoda; Insecta; Lepidoptera; Bombycidae.
CCUCUUAGACAAGCAAGACGCGUAUAGUAUUAUCUAGAGAAUAUCACAAACGCGUACAUACAUUCAAUACAUUUUGGGGGUGAUGCCCAAGGAAAUUAGUUUAAAAAUAAUCAUGAGUGAACGAAUACAGCAGACGUGUUAGAGGUGAAAAUUUUAUUAACUUCUGCUUUUCAUUUUGUAUCAUGUUAUUUUGGGUGUGCGUUCAAGAAUAGCGGACCAGUCGUUUCACUUCGCGAUUUGUGUUGUGAAAAUACUCCUUCAAGCUCCGAUAAAAAGUCGUACGAGUCUUUGAUCCAAUGUAUUCGAGAUAUAUCGGGACAGUAAUGUAGAAAACGUGCAAAAACAAAUUGUUUUAUUGAAAAAGCAUAAAGUUUUACGAGUAUGUUCCUCCUUGUGCGUCACUAUUGCGUGUCGUAUGUGAAAUGAUUGUGGUGAACUAUCGAUUAGGCAGUAUUGUGCGAUGAUAACUGCUAUUGUGAUAAUUAAUUUAUUUAAAUCCGUAUCCCGAUGUGACGCCGGGCCCAUCGGCUUAAAGAUUUUGUAACGCAUUGCUUCUUCUGUUUAUAGCCGACGACUGGUGCGCGCGCAGAUUUGCGUUGCCAUGGUUACGGGGUAGGGGUCCGCCCGCAGUCUGGGUUUCUACUUUCGGCUGGAACACCGCAAGGAGGAUUUAUGUGUCCCUAAUAACUAAAUUAUCCACACAAAUACAAUUUGAUAUUGUUCGGCUUCUGCCCUAGACACAAAAAGGAGUCAAGCUGGCGGCCGAAGAGGAAGAUCAUGGGCUGUUGCUCCCCUUGUUCACGGAGCCCGAGGACAGUGGCAUUGACAGCGACGACACAGGUCGAAACGCAUCGCGAAAUCGUCUGCAAGAAGACGCACAGAGCGAAUCAAGUAGCACUGAUGAUGAAGAGACCAUACCCUGGUGGAGGAUACCUAUACUAAAACAUUGCGACGAGGAAUUGGCGAAAGUUAUACCCGUCUUACAUUGUGAUGAAGAUGAUGAGG